AACGCGUGGGUAAUCUACCUCCGAAUCGGGGAUAACCCGCCGAAAGGCGAGCUAAUACCGGAUGAUAUCUUUGAAACACCGGUUUUUUAGAUCAAAGGUGGCCUCUACAUGUAAGCUACUGUUUGGAGAUGAGCCCGUGUACCAUUAGCUUGUUGGUAGGGUAAUGGCCUACCAAGGCUUCGAUGGUUGGCUGGUCUGAGAGGAUGAUCAGCCACACUGGAACUGACACACGGUCCAG
This 238-nucleotide ribosomal RNA is filed under the name uncultured bacterium. RNAcentral's name for it is "partial 16S ribosomal RNA". It matches the Rfam family "Bacterial small subunit ribosomal RNA", at positions 112 to 334 of the family's 1533-position model. The record is from RNAcentral.